RNAcentral lists this ribosomal RNA (254 nucleotides) under uncultured bacterium. RNAcentral's name for it is "partial 16S ribosomal RNA". It matches the Rfam family "Bacterial small subunit ribosomal RNA", at positions 524 to 776 of the family's 1533-position model. The record is from RNAcentral.
UACGUAGGGUCCGAGCGUUGUCCGGAUUCAUUGGGCGUAAAGAGCUCGUAGGCGGUUCGGUAAGUCGGAUGUGAAAACUCAGGGCUCAACCCGGAGACGCCAUCCGAUACUGCUGUGACUUGAGUCUGGUAGGGGAACACGGAAUACCUGGUGUAGCGGUGAAAUGGGCAGAUAUCUGGUGGAACACCAGUGGCGAAGGCGGCCGACUGGGCCGAUCCUGACGCUGAGACGCGAAAGCCAGGGUAGCGAACCGG